CGCUAUCACAACUUCGACGCACUAACACUAUUUGAUCUGUCUAACUUCAGUUGAAACGUAAACAUUGGAGAAAAAAGUAUGUCAAAAUGGCCGCUGACCCCCGAACUAUUGAUUGACAGGUCAUUUUAGCCAAUCGGCGAGUGUUAGGGGUGUCUUCUGAUGUUCCAACAACCAACGAGCUCGCCUGGUGAAAUCUGUACCUACCUCUCUUUGAGUGACAGUUUAUCUAUCCAGUUGCAAUAGAGAAUGAAAUGACGCUAUUUUCUGAUAGCCAAUGAAUUUCUGAAAAGACUGAAAUGCAGCUUUAGUGGCUGGAAUCAUCCGAUUACGUUAUAUUUCAUGCGUAAAGCGAAAGUGAUCCUCUGCGCGUUUGUGCGUAAACACAACAUUGAACGCGUUGGUGAGUGAAAGGAGGUAACAGAUGUGAAAUGGCAAAGAUAAUUAGAAAGACGCACUUAUUACUCGAAGAAGUGAUUGAACAGUGUAUUCUCCGUGACCGUGGUGAGUGGGAGGACAUUUGUGAGCAAGAGAGCAAUCGAUGUUGUUGUCUGGUUAGCACGACUAGCAGAGGACCCUUUUGGAUGGUGGCCACGGCACUCACGUCACGAAAAACCAUCAUCUGAAAAUUAGUGAGUGAAUUCUGGGAGCCAGUCAGAAAAAAACAACAUACUGGAACAGAAUGACAGCACCUUAUCAGGAGAGGAGCCCCAUCAUUUAUCUUUCCAGAGAGGUUCUGCCAGCUAAA
Molecule: non-coding RNA, 745 nt
Organism: Pimephales promelas (fathead minnow)
Lineage: Eukaryota; Metazoa; Chordata; Actinopteri; Cypriniformes; Leuciscidae
Source: RefSeq, a predicted model, not a curated record